AAAAAUUUGUCACGUGUAAGUCUGUUGUAUAAUGUCUUAACAAAAAUAAAGUUAACGUCAAUUGUAGAGGUUAUAUGCAUCCCAGGCUGGCGCUGAUCAUAGCACCGUAACGAUCUCCUUCCCCUCCUCCUGCUACUCACGCCCCUGCCUCCCUUUAUACCACAAUGGCUAAGAGGAAGGAGUUCAAAACGUAGAGUUCAAGUACUCCGGUACCUUCUAAAAAAAGUUACAGGGUUUAUAACUAUUGUGAUUGUCAGUGUCUAAUCCGGGGCAGAUUUAGCGUCGCGUGAGGUUGAGGCACCGGAGUUUCCCAGGGUGAACCGUUCUAUGGGAUGGCGGCGCGGAGUAAUAGUCCUUCCUUUUCACGAAACCUCUACCGGUACUCUUUAAUGCGUCUAGCCCGUUUCGGAAGUUAGAGAGCACGCCACAGGCACCUGUCGAAUACAAGUAAUGGGAACCUCACGCGGGGUCUAGCCUCUAGCGGUCUCCUCCUUCUGCCGCCGAUCACAAGGAGGUGCAGCGAAGAGGAAGGAGUUCGGUUCUACCUCUCUUUAGACGACGAUCGCUGCGUCUUAGACUUCAAGGCUUCCGGUACGGUCUGAAGACAGGAAGGUUGAGGCACUGACCCUUCCCCACCGAACCCAAUGUUCUAGUACGGCGUUGACUUGACGUACUGGUUCUAUACGGAUAGUAUUGUCCUCGUUGAUAAGAUAGUUCGAGUUACUUACAUCGUGGUGCGUUUUCACUAGCUUCGUCCGGUUACUUGCGUUCUCGUUUCGAUCCAAUACUCUUACAGUCGUUCGGUUCUAGUUUCAAAACAAGAAAAACGUCUCCAUUCCCGGUAUGUUGUAAGACUAUGGGGAGUUUCCCUCCACAUGGUUUCUGUGUUUCCUUUCAGGGUUUCACAUAACUCACGCCAGAACGUCCGGUACUCUCUUAAAGUAUGAGCUAUUCUUACAAGUAAAACAAGAGCCUUCUACUUUAACCACAAUCCUUUCUACAACAUCCGAAAGAAAACAACACAACAAAGCGGUCUAGUUUAACCACAACAUCCGAAAGAAAACAACAGCCUUUAAUCCAAGUAAAACACUGGUUCAUCACUUAUACAUUUGAGUCUUUACGAUACUCAUACCAAUUUUAAUCAGCACCAUGAAUAAAGUCAUGUGCACGUUGAGUUUAACUUGGAAACUACAAGUAAA
This 1199-nucleotide ribosomal RNA is filed under the name Triticum aestivum (bread wheat). RNAcentral's name for it is "partial small subunit ribosomal RNA". The record is from RNAcentral. Lineage: Eukaryota; Viridiplantae; Streptophyta; Magnoliopsida; Poales; Poaceae.